This 1879-nucleotide ribosomal RNA is filed under the name human gut metagenome. RNAcentral describes it as "bacterial LSU rRNA". It matches the Rfam family "Bacterial large subunit ribosomal RNA", at positions 3 to 1980 of the family's 2925-position model. The record is from RNAcentral.
UCAAGCUACAAAGGGCGCAAGGAGAAUGCCUUGGCACUGGGAGCCGAUGAAAGACGUGGUAAGCUGCGAUAAGCUUCGGGGAGGAGCAAACAUCCUUUGAUCCGGAGAUUUCUGAAUGAGGAAACUCACCAGAGUUCAUACUCUGGUAUCCUGUACUGAAUCCAUAGGUACAGGAGGGGAACCGCCUGAACUGAAACAUCUAAGUAGGGCGAGGAAGAGACAUCAAACGAGAUUCCGUAAGUAGUGGCGAGCGAACGCGGAAGAGGGCAAACCGAAGGUAGAAAUACCUUCGGGGUACGGACUGCUUUUAGGACUCGAUCUGUUAACCGAACGGCAUGGGAAGGCCGGUCAGAGAGUGUGAGAACCACGUAGGUGAAAACGGAGAGAGCUGCGCAGAUUCCAGAGUACGGCCAGACACGUGAAACCUGGUCGGAAGAUGGGGGGACCACCCUCCAACCCUAAAUACUACCCAGUGACCGAUAGCGUAUAGUACUGUGAAGGAAAGGUGAAAAGGACCCCGGGAGGGGAGUGAAAUAGAACCUGAAACCUUGUGCCUACAAGCACAUAGAGCACAUCAACGUGUGAUAUGGUACUUUUUGUAGAACGGUCCGGCGAGCGAUUGUAUGUUGCGAGCUUAAGGUCUUAAGGACUGGAGGCGUAGCGAGAGCGAGUCUGAACAGGGCGUUCAGUAACAUGCAAUGGGCCCGAAACCGGGUGACCUACCCAUGAUCAGGCUGAAGUGAAAGUAAAAUUUCAUGGAGGGCCGAACCGACCUCCGUUGAAAAGGCGGCGGAUGAAUUGUGGGUAGCGGAGAAAUUCCAAUCGAACUCGGAGAUAGCUGGUUCUCCCCGAAAUAGCUUUAGGGCUAGCCUCAUAUUAGAUACCCGGAGGUAAAGCACUGAAUGGCCUAGCGCCCGAGAGGGUAGCGAAGCCUAUCAAACUAAGAAUGCCGGAGUAUUGAUGUAUGGGAGUCAGACAGUGUGAGAUAAAUCUCAUUGUCAAAAGGGAAACAGCCCAGAUCUACAGCUAAGGUCCCAAAUUGUAUCUAAGUGGAAAACGAUGUGGAAAUACGCAGACAACCAGGAUGUUGGCUCAGAAGCAGCCACUCAUUUAAAGAGUGCGUAAUAGCUCACUGGUCGAGCGUCUCUGCGCGGAAAAUUUAACGGGGCUAAGAUACAAACCGAAGCUUAGGCUGCACGUAAGUGCGGGGUAGGGGAGCGUUGUGUAAGCGGAGAAACAGUAGCGUAAGCGGCUGUGGAGUUUACAGAAGUGAGAAUGCCGGAAUGAGUAGCGCGAAUGUGGUGAGAAUCCACAUGGCCGGAAACCUCAGGUUUUUGGAGGAAGGUUCGUCCGCUCCAAGUUAGGCGGGAGCUAAGGUCAGGCCGAAAGGCGUAGCCGAUGCACAGACGGUAGAGAUUCCGUCCCCACCGAAAGAUUUAAGCACAGGGACACUUUUUGAAGGUCGGAGCCAGGUGUUGGUUCUGGUAGUGAUCGAGGGAAAUAUAGUACCGAAGUCCGGCUGGAAGAGAGGCGAGAAAAGCUGUGUGUAUAUCUAAGGUGCCCGUACCGCAAACCGACACAGGUAGGUAGGAAGAAGAUUCUAAGGCCAACGGGAGAAGGGUUGUUAAGGAACUCGGCAAAUUGACCCCGUAACUUCGGGAGAAGGGGUGCUCCAGAGAUGGAGCCGCAGAGAAUCGGCCCAAGCAACUGUUUACCAAAAACACAGGUUUGUGCUAAAUCGAAAGAUGACGUAUACGAGCUGACGCCUGCCCGGUGCUGGAAGGUUAAGAGGAGAUGUGCAAGCAUUGAAUCGAAGCCCCAGUGAACGGCGGCCGUAACUAUAACGGUCCUAAGGUAGCGAAAUUCCUUGUCAGGUAAG